This 440-nucleotide ribosomal RNA is filed under the name uncultured bacterium. Its description in RNAcentral is "partial 16S ribosomal RNA". It matches the Rfam family "Bacterial small subunit ribosomal RNA", at positions 338 to 795 of the family's 1533-position model. The record is from RNAcentral.
CCUACGGGAGGCAGCAGUAGGGAAUAUUGCUCAAUGGGGGAAACCCUGAAGCAGCAACGCCGCGUGGAGGAUGAAGGUUUUCGGAUUGUAAACUCCUUUUGUUAGAGAAGAUAAUGACGGUAUCUAACGAAUAAGCACCGGCUAACUCCGUGCCAGCAGCCGCGGUAAUACGGAGGGUGCAAGCGUUACUCGGAAUUACUGGGCGUAAAGAGCGCGCAGGCGGGAUAGCAAGUCAGAGGUGAAAUCCUAUGGCUUAACCAUAGAACUGCAUUUGAAACUGUGAUUCUAGAGUGUGGGAGGGGUAGGUGGAAUUCCUGGUGUAGGGGUAAAAUGCGUAGAGAUCAAGAGGAAUACUCAUUGCGAAGGCGACCUGCUAGAACGUAACUGACGCUGAGGCGCGAAAGCGUGGGGAGCAAACAGGAUUAGAUACCCCAGUAGUC